GAGGCAUAAUUUUGAGGUGAAGGGUGAGUUUAGAAGAGCUUUAAGGAAAAAAUGUUUUCACCCAGAAGGUGAUGAGAAUCUGAAAUGCACUGCCUGGGAGGGUAGUAGAGCCCAGCGCCAGCACGGAGUAUGAGCAUCCUGAAUCUUGCAGACAGAUCAAAUGUUGUCCUACCUCCUCCAGAUUAUGCCUCUGACCCAGUUAAACAUCACAACAAGGAAGUAUCAUUCCACUCUUACAGUAGUGCCCCAACUAAAGGGAUCAUCGCCCAGUCAGACAAUACAAGUUCAAGUUCAGAGGCAAAUGGCGUCAUGAAACCACCUUUCCUCAGUGGUGGAAAUCCUUUUGCUACAGUAAAGCUCCGACCAACAAUAACAAAUGACAGAUCGGCGCCAGUUAUUUAGUGCACACGUUGUAAAUGUAGUCCUUAAUCAGUCAUGCAUUUGAAACCAACAGAUGCCAUUUUAAAUUAAUGCUAUAUAAGCAAUCCUACCUUUUGUACAAAUGGCUAUUGAUAGUUUAUAUUCAUUCAUGUUAUUUAUGCUAAUAUCCAAAUUAAUCUCUACAGAAAUGCUCUUGUAUGAAUGAUGAUGGGACAAAAAAAAUCUUACAGUUGAAAGAGUACAGCAUUUACAGUGGAUCUUGUUAAUAGGAAAAACUUUUUGUUAGAGUGCAUUCAUUGUUUGAAAAUGCUGUAUUUUUUCCAAAAUCCUGAUGUUUGUGCACUACAGUUUAAGCAGAAAUUCAUUCACUUUGACGUCUAAUAUAUAUCUGAAACGAUUGUUUUGGAGGGAAAUCUGGAUGCAUUGCUCAUUAUUGAAUAUGGGAGGUAAGACUCUGGAGAUUGUAAAAACAUAAUCUGCUGGAAAAAAUGCAGGUCGGGCAAUAUCUGUGGAGAGCAUCAAUAGCCUUGCAUCUGAAAAAUCCAGAGCUUGCUUGUUUGUAAGGAUGCAUGUUAUGACUGGUGAUCUUGAAGGAACAAGCCUCAAGCUUAUUGGCAUGUGCUUUUGAAACUAGUGAUAUUCUAGAACAUAUUUUGUUUUAACAUCAGGAAUGGAAGCCAUAUUCAUAGGUGUCAACUCACUGUACCCAUUCAUUUCUUCUCUCAGGGAUGGAUAUGUGUAUACAAUUCUUAUUUUCUAAUCUCUGCUCCCUCUAUAAACUAUUUUUCUUUCAUUCUUUCUCCAAAAUCUUUUUAUACCCAACUGGAGUUAUUUAAAGUUGAUGGGGCUUCAUCAACUCUUUUUCACUAGUAUUCUAGAAUUUGAGAUUUCUCACUCCUUUGCUCUGCUAUUUAAAUUUAAUAAUUGAGAAGAUGCAAAUAUAAAAUAAGCACAGAAAAUAUUGGCUGGCCCAUUCGCAUCUGUAAAGUGAUAAAGGACAUUGACAAAGAUCCACACCAAAAAUGUUAACAGUUUUGACUGAGGUUAACAUUUUGGAUAUAGAACUGCCAGCAGUCCCUCUGCGAGGCAAGAAAUUAACCCAUUCUUUUUAUACACGCUGAUGAGCCUGCUUAUAUUUCCAACAUUUUCUGUUCAUUUUCUGAUUUUCCUUUUAAAUCUGCUACACGAACAUGCACACCUUGCAGUAGGAGCCCAACCAAAUUUUAUUUUUCCUAAAACUAAAAAAGAUUAGAUCGAAUGCAGUGCAUUUUAAAUGCAUCAGCCAAAGCUUUAUUGAUCUGAAGAAAAAUCAACAUAAUUAAUAGGUUUGUACUGUAUAUAUUUUCUUUUUAGUUGUUACAAAGUGCCAUUGAGAUAAUCUUUUAAAGUAAUGUUUGGUGUGUGCAUGUGUGUUCUGUGUUCUUAAUUUGUACACUUGCAACUUUUCCCAAUUAUAGUCAGAUAAGAUCUAUGUAACAAACUACAAGAUAUCAGUAAGGAAGUCUGACCAUUGCCUGGACCCAACAGAAACAGCACUUCAAUCCACUGCAGCACUUCAAAGAUUAAGCAAUUAUUGUGCAAUUGUAUAAUAAUUUAUAUUCCUUUACCUUUACUGUAGUUUACGAACUCAGUUUAAAGAUAUGGGCAUAUGUGCACUUAUGUAUGGAACAGAGGUAUUGGAAGUCAGCGCUUGUUCUCCUCUCAAAUAUUUUGCCAGUUUCAUUUCUGUUACUUAUUGAAGUGAUUUGCUUUAGUGGUUACAUGGCAUGAUGCUUAAAAUGUAACAGGCUGCUACUGGUGACAAUACUUUCAUCAACUUUAAAGGUGUACAUAAAAUGAGACAAUGAACACAAAAAAAAGUGUUUGGGCCAAAAUGCAAAUCUAAAAUAUAGAGCAAUUAAAAUAGAACUUGUCUGUUGUUGAUCUCACAGCUGAGAUAUGUAUCUGUAAAUUUAAAGUCUUAAUAUGCACAAACACUGCAAGGUUAGUAAGAUGGGGAUUGCUAUUUUCCACAGGAAAGGACCUUAAAAUUUACAUCUGCACUUUUCUGGAACAUCUGUUCCAAGUAACAAAUCAGCCUUAAAUUUGCCGUUUGUCAUCUUGAGCCUGUGCCAUAUUCUCUUAAUGUAGUAGUUUUUUUUUCAGAUUUGCCUUUUCUGUACUAAUUAGUAUUGUUCCUACUUCCUGGAAGGACUUGUCUCCAUUGAUUUUUCUUCAGGUUUGAAGUCCCCAUUUGUUCUUCCCUCAGUUCUCAUCUAUUAUAGGCCUUACAGCUACAAUCUGCAUUUGUUUCUCUUACCACCCCCCCCCGCCACACCCACACACACACACACACACACACACGUACGUGCACACACAUGGCGUUUGAAUACAUCUUUUUGACUUUGAGGACCAACUGUCCGUGAUACUCUGAGGACUAGAGCACAUUCAAUUGCCACCACAGCUUCAUCAGAUGUACCCUAUUGUUCAAAUUGGUAUUCAAGGAUUGUUGCUCCACUGUGACUGAACGUUAAGUAUAACAGUUGUACCAUCCCCAUGUGUAUCUAAUCCAAAGGUUGAACUCAGACCCAGGAACAAUGAUGGCUCCAUUUUUGAAACUGGCAUUUGUAUGAGCCCUAGAUACUUUUCAACAUAUUUCCUAGCCACCACUUUACAUUUAUUUUGCUUUGAGAUGGCUGGACCACUACUGCCUAUACUUUCUGCUUCCACACUAAAUAUGGGUUUUAUUCCCUAGAUGAUCAAUCAGACCAUAGUGAACAUGUCAUGACUAUUUGUGGAAUCUUAGUUUAGAGUUUUAGUCCUAUCUACUGUCUGUGAUCUGCCAGUGUAAAAUUAAGUGAAAUCUAGCACAGUACGCACUGAGCUAGAAAAGACUAUCUAACUAAAAUAACUAAAGUGUUUGCUUAAUACUCAAAAUGUGACUAAAAUGAAGAGAUGCAGCUCAAUUCCUUAGUUCUACAAUAUUAUGGAGACAAUGCUGUAAUUUGUAACUUUUCAUAAUGGAGCUUAUGUGGGAGAAGUAAAGACUUCCUGUUUAAUGGAGGUCACAAUAGUAAUUCACAGUCGCCCAUAAUCUAGCAAAGGAUGUAUAAUAUGUGUACAAUGCAGUGUUGUCAUGAGAAAACAUAUUUGAGUGUUGCUACAAAUAUUCUAUAGCAAGGAUCACAAUUAAGCAGUAUGGUUCAAUAUUGAACAAUUAGUAUUGCUUAUUUACUAUAAACACCCUUGACAAAGCUGUAAGAACAAGGUCUUCACCUGGUAUUAAGCAGCUAAAGGUACUCUCGUCUUCCCAAACACGGUAAAAUAUGUACUGUUGAGUGUUUCACCAUUCAAGUGGAUAGAUUUGUCAAAACUUGACUCCUCUUUACUCAUACAGAUAGUAUUGCAAAGUUUGUUAAACAGCAUUAUAAACCUAGUGAUAUUUUAAAUAUGCAGCAGGAAUUUACUGAAGAUAUUUAGGCUGUUAGAGAAGUUUGGUUUAACACUAAACUGAAGAAAAUGCUUAGAGUUCUGUUACUAAAAUAUUUUUGUUGCCCAUCAGCAAAGUUGAACUGAAGUUUGCAAAUAUAGGUAGUGUGAAUACCAUUAUGGAAACUUAUACAAAUACUUACAGCAUCUGCCAUUCUAAGCACUAUGCUUAGCUGAUGUAUGUGUUCCUAAAUUUUUCAAACAGUGUCCUGUCAAAUCUCUAAAAUAUCAUUAGUAUCUGUGUUAAAGGGUUUCACUUUCUUGGUGCCUAGAAACUGUUUGAGUAAUUCUGAAGGCGAUGCAGAUUUGCCUGUUUUGUGACACCUCAAAGCAACUCUGGACUGUCCUGCUGGGGUUAAUUGUAUAACAUAUUCUUAAAUGACAUGGAAAGCUCCUGUUUUUCUAUACUUUGUGGGAAACCUAAAGCAGUAGUUCCAAUAGCAUUACGGAUUUACCAACACCAUUUAAAAUUGAUUAGCUGGUUGUUCAUCACUGGAACUUUACCGGGUACAAAUUAGCUGCCUUGCCUGCCCAGAAAACACACUUCAGGAGUGAUUCAUGGCUGUAAAACACUUACGGUCAUCGCUAAGUCAUGAAAGAUAAUAAAUGAAAAGAAUGUCUCAUGUUUUCAUCAGGGCAAGUGAUAGGAUGACUGAAAUGCUCAACAUAAUCCAACCAUGAAAGAAAAAUAAUUCCGCCACCUAGCAUGAAUACUUUUUUCUUGUCUGGCCAACAAAUUGCAGUCACAGGUAAAUAGAAAAACUGCAAUUAAAUUAUCCCUAUAUUUCUGAUGGGAAUUUGAAGAUUGGAUCCACUAAGUACUUUAACUUUAAAUUGUGUUUAUUAAAGACUGUAGCUAUGGUGAUUUGCAAUAUGUGUAACUGUUACAUUAAUGGCCAGGAUAAAACUAGCAUUGAAAGCUUCAGUAAUAUGCAAAGACUACUGUAAAACUGAUUUUUAGUAGAACACCAUAGAUUGUUCUGAAUACAGAUUUUAACAAAAGUUCAUUGCAAACAAUUUUAAACUCAGCAACUAACCAGAAAUGAUGUCAGGUUUACAUUUUCAGAAAGCCUUCUUAAUAUGGGGCAAUUAAAACCUGACAUCAGGCAACUGUUCAUAGCCUGUCAACCCAUCAAUUUUAUUUAAAUUACACAGCCAUAUUCAAAAGAUUUAAUAAUUGAAACUUUAUCAAUUCAUGAUGGGGUGGUCAGCGAUGGGGGAUCUAGGACUCUGCUGGGCUAACUUUUUAAAUACUACUUUUUGGAAUGAUAAAACUAAUUCUAGCUCUUAAAAACCACAAGACACUUAUUUCUACAGAGUAGAUGGGACAAAGGUAAAACUAGGAAAGUCAUCUCCUAUCAUUUUGAGAUCCAGUUUUUCAUUUUCCUCCAAACUCAACACUUAAAACUGUUAAAUAUAAUGCUUAUAUAGGUAAAUAUUCUUGUAUCUAAACAGGCACAAUGAGUUGUAACAUCUGUGCAAUUAAUUAUGUAUAGUGAGAUUACACUACUGUUAAAAUGUUUUAGCAACCUUGCACAACAGCUACUAUUUGACUGUAUUCUUGCCCAUUUGUGUUUAUAACAUGUUAAAUUUAAUCUUUUAUACAUUCAGAUGAGUGUUUAAAGAAAGGAAUGUAUGGGAAUAGGUGUAUUUAUGACUAGAAAUCUAUCAUAACACAACCAGCCACACUAUUUGCAAGAUACCAAACAAUAGCUCUGCAACGAAGUAUUAAAGAAUGUAGUUUCUCAACCCUGUUAGUUGCUAACUGCCACUUGGUAGUGUUUGCAUUUUCCAAUAUAUUCCAUUUAAUUCUGAACUGACUGCCACCUCUGGAACAAUGGGAAUAAAAUUAAGGUGUAUAUUUUUUUGAGAACUUGAAGAAUAAGAUGCUGUUUUCAGUACAAAACAGAUGAAUAGAAAUGAUGAAUGAAGGCAAAUGUCAAAGAGACUUGCCGGACAGGAAACCUAUAGGAUCAGGUAGAAUAAUGGUUUUGACACCCUUGUAAUACUAGAUUAAAAUUUGACCCUGCCAUAUCUAUUUAAUGAAUGGAAAAUGAUACAUAAAAAUACAUUUAAAGAGUAUGAUGGACUAUUAUACAGUAAAUCCAACAAAAAAAUGUCUGCAUUGUUGUUGGUCACCAGUUGCAAGCUGCUUUCACUAAAGGACAUGACUCCAUAUCUGCCAUCAAUGAAGUUCUGUGAUUAGCAUUUUUUUUUUUUUUUUUAAAAAGUUGAACAAAACUAGAAAACGCACUUUUUUCCCCCCUAAGAUGGCCUCGUAUUUCAUGUGGUGAUUCAUUCAGUUUGGGGUCUAUACUUAUGCAAGAAAUGCUUGAAGACUAUUCCUCUGGUCUAAAUCAACUUCCAUGGUCAAGGAACAGAAAAUUUCAAGCUCGAUUGAUUUGACCUUAAAUCUCUCUCUCUUAUUUAUAGAUUGUAUAGGUAGAAGGUUUAUAGAUUGUGAUUCCACAAAAUUAGUCUAAUUUGUAUAGUUUGAAGUGGCCUAAAACAGAAGAAUGUACUGUAAAAGUGGUAAAGGUCUUAUAAAGUGCAAUAACUGAUCAUAACUUCAGUUCUUAAUUCAUUUAGAGCAGUGCAUUUCUGCACUAAAAGUGCUGGAAUUCUGUUAUUGAUUUAAACUUUUUCCUCUAAGCCUUUCACUUGUGAAAUUAAUGUUUUAUAACUUAAUUCUGCUGAUGUAUUCUACAACUUACUGAUAACAGCAAAACAAAGUAGUAAAAUGAUUUGGUGUAAGUGUACAGGAGAAAUGUUUGUUUGUUUUUUGUAUAACCAUAAAGUCUGACUUUUACUCAGA
Molecule: long non-coding RNA, 6664 nt
Organism: Rhincodon typus (whale shark)
Lineage: Eukaryota; Metazoa; Chordata; Chondrichthyes; Orectolobiformes; Rhincodontidae
Exons: 4
Source: RefSeq, a predicted model, not a curated record